ACGAGGCGCAGUGAACACAGUGCGUCGCGCUCGUGCAGGUGGUGCAGUUCGGAGCGCAGGGCUCGCACGUGCUUCUCACCGAGUGGUAGCGUGACUGCGGGCAGCUUUCCACACACUCACCGCCGAGCAGGUAAUUUUUCCAUUCCUGAGGUGGUACUGAAACUACCUCUGCUGCAGCUGGUGCAUUUGUCAGGACCCUCAUCAUUACAUUCGUGACAUGUAUGAUGGCAGCGAUGACACUGCCCAUCCCUUUCAUACUUUCCAGACUCACACUGUAUUACACAGCGUCCGUCAUCAAAGAACCUGCAGAGGAAGCAAAACAGAGCAGGAAGAGGAGAGAAGAAAGAAAAAGUACAGCAGACGAUUGGGCAGUGGACAGGAAGUGAUGCAGAUCAGGUAGCAGGAAACAGGUUUUAAAUCCAGUAGAUGUGUCGAAGUAAGGGGUGUCCAUUUAUGAUUUGGAAUCCAUCAAAAGGUGUGGAAAAAAAGAUCAUAGGGAGGAGAAGGAGAACAAACAUUAAGAAACUGAUCAGCAAUCAUAGCAACAUAUCUGGGCAUAAUUUUUACAGUGCUUUCAUGAGGAUGAGGUUUUAUAAUUGCUGUUGCUUUUACUGUGCAUUUUAUGAGUAUUAUAUAUAUAGAAAUAUAAUCAAUGGAAUGGUUCACUGUAAAAAUUUUCCCUUUACAAUUAUUACUUUAUGAACCUCUAUCAGUUUGGGAUUAUUUGUAAAAAAAAAAAAAAAAAAAAAAAAAAGAAUGGACAAAUUUGAUCAAAAGGAAAAAAAAAUUAUAAAGUACAAGUACAUUUAAUUACCAUGCAUUUUAAAAUAAAAUAAAUCAGUAGAUCAGACCUUAGAGAUAAUAAUUAUAGAUAUAAUUAAAGAUAGUAAUUUUAGGACUCUGGACUGUAAUUACUAACAUCAGACAGCAGCAAAACCCAAUGUAAGUGGGAACACAUUUAAUAGAAGGAGAAGGCUUCAGCGCCAAAGUCUGGACUUAAAAGUGAGUGAACAUAAGUGAAUAAGCUAGUACUCACCAUCUUUGCAGAUAGUGCUGACGAUACACACACCAUUUUCUAGGUUAUAUCCAUUCACACAGGCACUGCAGUUUCUAUCACCUGGACCUGUGCAUGUGUAACAUGUAGGAUCACACCUGGCAGAGGACCCAGAACAAAGAAAUCAAACCUUUGAGUAAUGGGCACACCUUUAAUUACUGAAUAAAGCUUCACUGUAUACUUAGUUAAGCUUGGUGGACUACUGACUUGCG
Long non-coding RNA from Pangasianodon hypophthalmus (striped catfish), 1266 nucleotides. RefSeq lists it as uncharacterized. The transcript has 4 exons. The record is from RefSeq and is a predicted model, not a curated record. Lineage: Eukaryota; Metazoa; Chordata; Actinopteri; Siluriformes; Pangasiidae.